AUGGAUAUUCGUCGGGCGAAUCUGGUGGUAGCCUCAAACGAGCAGUCUCAGGCUCCCAACGGCGCGGAGAAGCUUUUUGGUGAUGUUCUUCAAGUUUUCUACCGUCCAGGAAUAGUCGAGCUGGAAAACGGGGCUUCGUUCUCUUUGAUUCAAUCUGAGACAGGUGCAGAUGCGGACCAACUCAGGACUGUUAUCGGAGCUCACGUCGCUAUGGGCAACCUUUUCACCACCAUUGAUGAUGACCAUUUCAAGUGCUCGUUCAACGGAUAA
This 270-nucleotide ribosomal RNA is filed under the name Triticum aestivum (bread wheat). Its description in RNAcentral is "partial small subunit ribosomal RNA". Lineage: Eukaryota; Viridiplantae; Streptophyta; Magnoliopsida; Poales; Poaceae. The record is from RNAcentral.